GGUCAUGAGUGCCAGCACACAGCCCCGGCUUGCUGGCCGGCAACCCUCGUAUCGCGGUGGGGUGCCCCGGGUGAAGACCUGGCCGUCCGGCACCCGCCGGAAGGCAAGCGCGGCGC
This is a regulatory RNA element of Arthrobacter sp. Leaf69, 116 nucleotides long. It matches the Rfam family "SAM (S-adenosyl methionine) riboswitch aptamer". From Rfam's summary of the family: SAM-IV is a mRNA element that regulates gene expression via direct sensing of S-adenosylmethionine (SAM or AdoMet). NCBI's taxonomy places the organism in Bacteria, Bacillati, Actinomycetota, Actinomycetes, Micrococcales, Micrococcaceae. The record is from Rfam.